UACGGAGGGUGCUAGCGUUGUUCGGAAUCACUGGGCGUAAAGGGCGUGUAGGCGGCCUGCUAAGUCUGAUGUGAAAUCCCCUCGCUCAACGAGGGAACUGCGUCGGAUACUGGCAGACUCGAGUACCGGAGAGGAAGGUGGAAUUCCCGGUGUAGCGGUGAAAUGCGUAGAUAUCAGGAGGAACACCAAUGGCGAAAGCAGGUAACUGGACUAUUACUGACGCUAAGCUGCGAAAGCUAGGGGAGCAAACAGG
RNAcentral lists this ribosomal RNA (253 nucleotides) under uncultured bacterium. RNAcentral's name for it is "partial 16S ribosomal RNA". It matches the Rfam family "Bacterial small subunit ribosomal RNA", at positions 524 to 776 of the family's 1533-position model. The record is from RNAcentral.